GAUCGAGCGCUCGUAGCAAUACGGAAGCGGCAGACGGGAGAGUAACACGUGGGAACGUACCCUUCGGUUCGGAAUAACCCAGGGAAACUUGGGCUAAUACCGGAUACGUCCGUAAGGAGAAAGAUUUAUCGCCGAGGGAUCGGCCCGCGUCCGAUUAGCUAGUUGGUGGGGUAACGGCCUACCAAGGCGACGAUCAGUAGCUGGUCUGAGAGGAUGAUCAGCCACACUGGGACUGAGACACGGCCCAGACUCCUACGGGAGGCAGCAGUAGGGAAUCUUGCGCAAUGGGCGAAAGCCUGACGCAGCCAUGCCGCGUGAAUGAUGAAGGUCUUAGGAUUGUAAAAUUCUUUCAGCGGGGAAGAUAAUGACGGUACCCGCAGAAGAAGCCCCGGCUAACUUCGUG
Molecule: ribosomal RNA, 403 nt
Filed under: uncultured bacterium
Lineage: Bacteria
Description: bacterial SSU rRNA
Rfam family: Bacterial small subunit ribosomal RNA
Source: RNAcentral